GCCGACAUAGCUCAGUUGGCUAGAGCAGCUGAUUUGUAAUCAGCAGGCCCGGGGUUCGAAUCCUCGUGUCGGCACCA
This 77-nucleotide transfer RNA is filed under the name Sulfurimonas sp. GWF2_37_8. RNAcentral's name for it is "tRNA-Thr". It matches the Rfam family "tRNA". Rfam says of the family: Transfer RNA (tRNA) molecules are approximately 80 nucleotides in length. Their secondary structure includes four short double-helical elements and three loops (D, anti-codon, and T loops). Further hydrogen bonds mediate the characteristic L-shaped molecular structure. tRNAs have two regions of fundamental functional importance: the anti-codon, which is responsible for specific mRNA codon recognition, and the 3' end, to which the tRNAs corresponding amino acid is attached (by aminoacyl-tRNA synthetases). tRNAs cope with the degeneracy of the genetic code in two manners: having more than one tRNA (with a specific anti-codon) for a particular amino acid; and 'wobble' base-pairing, i.e. permitting non-standard base-pairing at the 3rd anti-codon position. The record is from RNAcentral. Lineage: Bacteria; Pseudomonadati; Campylobacterota; Epsilonproteobacteria; Campylobacterales; Sulfurimonadaceae. RNAcentral also lists the same sequence under 27 other names.